This 322-nucleotide ribosomal RNA is filed under the name uncultured eukaryote. Its description in RNAcentral is "partial 18S ribosomal RNA". It matches the Rfam family "Eukaryotic small subunit ribosomal RNA", at positions 1470 to 1796 of the family's 1831-position model. The record is from RNAcentral.
CCCUUAGAUGUUCUGGGCCGCACGCGCGCUACACUGAUGCAUUCAACGAGUCCAACCUUGACCGAGAGGUCCGGGUAAUCUUUGAAACUGCAUCGUGGUGGGGCUAGAUUAUUGCAAUUAUUAAUCUUCAACGAGGAAUGCCUAGUAAGCGUGAUUCAUCAAAUCGCGUUGAUUACGUCCCUGCCCUUUGUACACACCGCCCGUCGCUCCUACCGAUUGAAUGCUCAGGUGAGCCAUUCGGACUUUCAUCAUGCUGGUUUCCAGUUUUGAUGAAGGAAAGUCUUGCGAACCUUAUCAUUUAGAGGAAGGAGAAGUCGUAACA